UAUUGGGCGUAAGCGAGCGCAGGCGGUCUUUUAAGUCUAAUGUGAAAGCCUUCGGCUCAMCCGAAGAAGUGCAUUGGAAACUGGGAGACUUGAGUGCAGAAGAGGACAGUGGAACUCCAUGUGUAGCGGUGAAAUGCGUAGAUAUAUGGAAGAACACCAGUGGCGAAGGCGGCUGUCUGGUCUGCAACUGACGCUGAGGCUCGAAAGCAUGGGUAGCGAACAGGAUUAGAUACCCUGGUAGUCCAUGCCGUAAACGAUGAUUACUAAGUGUUGGAGGGUUUCCGCCCUUCAGUGCUGCAGCUAACGCAUUAAGUAAUCCGCCUGGGGAGUACGACCGCAAGGUUGAAACUCAAAAGAAUUGACGGGGGCCCGCACAAGCGGUGGAGCAUGUGGUUUAAUUCGAAGCUACGCGAAGAACCUUACCAGGUCUUGACAUCUUCUGACAGUCUAAGAGAUUAGAGGUUCCCUUCGGGGACAGAAUGACAGGUGGUGCAUGGUUGUCGUCAGCUCGUGUCGUGAGAUGUUGGGUUAAGUCCCGCAACGAGCGCAACCCUUAUUACUAGUUGCCAGCAUUAAGUUGGGCACUCUAGUGAGACUGCCGGUGACAAACCGGAGGAAGGUGGGGACGACGUCAAAUCAUCAUGCCCCUUAUGACCUGGGCUACACACGUGCUACAAUGGAUGGUACAACGAGUCGCGAGACCGCGAGGUUAAGCUAAUCUCUUAAAACCAUUCUCAGUUCGGACUGUAGGCUGCAACUCGCCUACACGAAGUCGGAAUC
Molecule: ribosomal RNA, 780 nt
Filed under: Pediococcus pentosaceus
Lineage: Bacteria; Bacillati; Bacillota; Bacilli; Lactobacillales; Lactobacillaceae
Description: bacterial SSU rRNA
Rfam family: Bacterial small subunit ribosomal RNA
Source: RNAcentral